This is an RNA transcript of Pangasianodon hypophthalmus (striped catfish), 6084 nucleotides long. It is a transcript of the gene named FKBP prolyl isomerase 6, with no coding region annotated. The transcript has 10 exons. The record is from RefSeq and is a predicted model, not a curated record. NCBI's taxonomy places the organism in Eukaryota, Metazoa, Chordata, Actinopteri, Siluriformes, Pangasiidae.
UCCAGGCUUCUGUAACUUGAAGUAGGGAGACAAUUUAGUAUCGUUUUAUUCAGUGAAUUCUUCACAGACUGAAUUAAUCCAUAAAUAUAUCCUUCCUGCAGUAACAAAGGACAAAAUAAAACCUUAUAAUGUAGAAAAGUAACCGUUUUUAAGAUGGUUGCACGGAUGUAAAGCUGAUGGCGGUUAUUCACCUCAGCGUGGCGCCUCUAUAUUUGUUUCAGUCAAGAAAAGCUAGACCUGCGUUAUUAGCUACAUUAACUUGAAAACUAGCCAAAGUUCAUUGUACACUUCAUGAAGAAAUUCACUCGACUAAAAGCUCAAAAUCAUGACUACAAACGGUGUGUCUUCCAGACUGAUUCAGUUUAUUGACCCAGAGGAGCGCCAUCGAGAUGGAAUACAGACGCCUUUCCAGCGUCUUGCUCAGCAAAUGCAAGACGUUUUAGGAGAUGGAGGAAUUCUCAAGGAAGUGGUGCAUGAGGGAGAAGGCCCGCUUGUACCAAGAGACGCUUCAGUCAGCAUCCACUUUUCUGGAUUCCUGGAGUAUUCAGAUCAGCCUUUUGAGUCGACUAGGAGCUUCAAAUUUCCCAAAAUGAUGAAGCUCGGAAAAGACAUGACUGUGUGGGGCCUCGACCUCGGCCUGCGGACCAUGAGGAGAGGAGAGUUCUCUCGUUUUCUCAUGCAGCCCAGCUACGCCUAUGGAGAGAUGGGCUGCCCUCCUCUCAUCCCACCAUGGGCCACGGUGCUGUACGAGGUGCAGGUCUUCGACUAUCUUGACUCAGCCCAAGUGGAUGAGUUCUUUGCACUUUUACCGGAAGAGCAGAAUUUGGCUCCUCUGUCUACACUGCUGACUGUAGUCGACACAGAGCGAAGCUUUGGAAACCGCUGUUUCAACCAGAGCCGCUAUGAAGACGCCAAACACAGAUACAAGCAGGCCAUGACGUUGCUAAGGAACCGUGAGCCACCGGAUGAAGAAGAGAGGAGGCGUGUGGAGGAGGCGAGCCUGCCCUUCUUGCUCAAUCUCUCCCUCACCUACCUCCGCCUGGAGAGACCUCGCAAAGCUCUGCAGUUUGGCCAGAGAGCUCUGGAAAUCAGCCCUGGUAACACCAAAGCGCUGUUCCGGUGUGGUCAGGUCAGAGACUCAAAUUAUUACCUGAAGAGUCAGGCAUGCUUAGAGAUGAAUGACUAUGAGAAGGCACAGGAUUACCUCACCAUGGCUCAGGCCAACAAGCCGUUUGACACAGACAUCAACAACUUGCUAAGAAAGCUGGCACAUUGUUACAAGGAAGACCUGGACAAGGAAAAACACAUGUGCUCCAAAAUGUUUUCUGCUCUCAAAUCUGAGAAGUGAACAUGUUUCCAAGUCAGUGGGAUUAGAGGAAUAAAAUCAACUACUAAGGAACUUGGAGGUCUUGUGCCCCGUUUACUCGCCAUUUGACAGCAAGUAAUCUCUGAGUGUAAAAAAAAUAUACGACUCUGGGCGUUCACUGGUACAGUGCAUUAUCACAUCAUAGAGCCAAUUAUCAUCGCUGUUUUAGUGGCUAUAAACCAUUAGUAAUUGCUUCAAGCUGAGCCACUGCUUGUUCAGUGCACCCUAUAGAGUUAUGAAUGGUUUUCUAGAGGAAGGAUGGUCUUGAGUAAAUUCUGAGUAUACAAAAUUUACAUUAUGACAACUGUCCAUGUGGUAAAUACACUAUAUGGCCAAAAAUUUGUGGACCCCUGACCAUUACACUCAUAUGUGUUUAUUGAACAUCGCAUUCAAGAUUUAAUCCCUGUUUGCUGUUAUAUUAACCUCCACUCUUCUAGGAAGACUUUCCACUAGAUUUUGGAGCAUGGCUGUGGGGAUUUGUGCUCAUUGUACUCACACAAGAGCAUUAGUGAGCUCAGGCACUGAUGUCAAACGAGGAGGCCUGGGGUGCAGUUGACGUUAUAAUUUAUCCCAAUUAUUCAGUAGGGUUGAGGUCAGGGCUCUAUGCAGGCCACUCACGGUCUUCCACUCCAACCAUGGCAAACCAUGUCUUCAUGGAGCGUGCUUGGUGUGCAGGGGCAUUGUCAUGCUGGACCAGGGUUGGGCCUCUUAGUUCCAGUAAAGGGAAAUUGUAAUGCUACAGAAUACAAAGACAUCCUGUACAACUGUGUGCUUCAGACUUUGUGUCAACAAUUUGGGGAAGAAUCACAUAUGGGUAUGAUGGUCAGUUGUCCACAAACUUUUGGCCAUAUAGUGUAUAAUUAUCCCACACUGUUAGAUUCUGAUUGGUCAGGUGUUGGCUAAUUUUCUGUGACAGCAGCUCUGACGGUAGUGCAGGCAGCAAGGCAAAUCACAGGUUUAUAUUAAUAUGCUUGUAUUACAUGCUCAUUUCUAUUUUUUGGGAUUUGUGUGAAAUGUGUGUUGUUAUUUUGGUUGAUAUGGUGAUGUUUUCUGUAAGGAGAUGUUAUUUGACAUUUACGGAAGGAGUCUCCAGUGUCUGUGCUUUGUAACAGUCAGUAAGUUUCCAUCCCAAGGAAAGACUCUCAAUUAAAGAUUUAAAUAUUUACAUUUACAAAUUGAAGUACAGAAUGCUGUGUUUGUUCAGCCUGCCUAGCAGAGGCACCAUAGUGUUUGGAGCAUUCUGCGUGCAGACCUGAAGCUGAUACCAUCUUAAAAUGGAGACAUAAGAUAGCAUUGGACCUGGAUGUCUCAGCUAGCCCUAGCAUGCCUCCUAAACAGAGAAAAGGUUUGUGUGUCUACAAUCUGAUGAACAUUCAGAGAAAGGUUUGAUCUGAUAAGAUGGUGCAGCAUGUCAUCUACACACACUGACAGAUUUAGCAUGGCCACCCAUCAGUAUAGACACUAUCACAACCAGAGUCUGAAUACAACACACCAGCUUAGACUGGACAGAACCUGGCAAAGAGGCUCAAAUUUUCAGUGACUUUUGUCUGCACUUCAUACAUAUACAUUAUGUCUGUAAACUCAACAAGAUCCAGAGAUGGCCAUAUAAGUGGCGCACACUGCAGUGUGCCACGUGCCGGCGAGUUCAUUUGGUGCAAAUGCAUAUGGGGAAGAGAGAAGAGGAAAUAAAAAUCAUAGCUCUUAAAUCUGUUCGGUGUGGCAGUUAAUAUGAUUCAUGCACCAAUAACUUCAGCAAACUCUGCUUUCCAUUUACUCCCUCAUCUCCGGCCUGGCAGAUCAAUGCCCUAUUCAUAUCAUUGCCACUGACAGCAGGAGCCUGGCCUUUUCUUUCCCUUUAGCUUUAUGAAAGACAUUUCUCUCACUUCCUCUCCCUUAAGGUCAUUUUUUCAGUUUUAUACUGUAGGAAAGGUAUGUUUUGAUUUCUCUCUCUCUCUUUUCUUACCUCUGAUUAAACACACUCCCCAGUCUAGGGUAGCACUGGGCUAAAUUUAGGAAUAGCCACCCCUCGAUGGAACUUUUUUCCUCGCAGAGGGAUUGUCUUUCAUCUUAUCUCUUAGAAUGGUGGUAUCUCAGGCUCACAUUUACUUUAUUUGGAUGAAGAGAGAAAUGUGUGAGGAAUUCACAAAAAGGGCUUUGCCUAAAGUUUUGUAUAGCAAAAAGAUUUUUUUCGAGGAAUUUUAAGGAACAUUUGAGAGUGCUGAUGGUUUAAUGGGAUAUGCAGAGGCACCUAGUAGGGCACAGUGCUUCUUUGUUAAUGGUGCCUAAAAGUCCUAGCUCUGGGCUUGUUUAUCCUGGCCUGUAGGAUGCUCCAUGAUGCAUUACAAAACCAUGGUAAAUUAAGGAGGAAUAAGUGAAUGAGUAGUAGGUUGCAUUUGAUUUACAUUGAAAAUUCUCAUCUACAAAAAAAGUGCAGUUGAGUUCAAAACCCUAGCGUAUGUUGGUGGACAAGACAACUUCAUGCUAACGGCAUAAAUGAUAAAUUGCAUAUUCUACCCUGCGCUUUUACUGAUCAAAGAGCGCAAAGCUCUGCCCACUUGUUUUCUAUUGGUGAUGUUCACGAAUUCGCACCUAGAUAACGUCAGCUUGAAGCAAAAGUAACCGCUACCAGAAGCAAAUGAGCGUUUUUCACAUGUUCUUUCCAGUUUGGUGAAUUGCUUUUUCCACCAGGUGAAUUGUAUUCAUGUUUGCUCUGACUUCAGCUUUAGAAAAGCAUAGUUAGAAAAGCAUAGUUUUCAGAGGUUUCCAGUAUGUCCAUAGCAAGUCAAAAAUAAAUUGUAAAUGUUACAAAAGUAGAACAUUACCUACAUCUACUUGCAAGUAUACAUCACAACUUAAUAUCAACGUAUAGUAUAUAAUAUGAAGAAUAUGAAUCGUAUAUAAAGUAGACUUUUAGAUAUAGGAGUAAGUUUAGGAGUAUGAAAACUAUACAUACUAAAACACCAAUAAUUAAAAUAAGUAUUUUCUUGAAACAUGUAUUUUAUGUAUUAACUUUUUUUGAUAAUAUCCUUCUAAGGGCUUAUCUAACAAACUCCUUGUGAUCCAAUAAAGCAUUCGAAAGCAGCCAGAAAAGGGCGUGAUGAGCGGAGUACAGAAAUGCAACCCUAGUUUGAUCCUGAAAGAAAAAUGUGUUUUUAAAAAAAAAAAAAAAAAAACUACCCAGGAAAGUUCUAACCAGCAAGUGGAGACUUUUGUAUAGACACUUCUCUCAGCAAAACACUCAUUUUACUUGAAGUGAAGCUAAAUCUUGAAUUCUGCAUCCGGUUGAUUUCCAUCAUUUUGAAAUGACAGCAUACAUGAGCACUAAUGAUGUGGUUAUAUUCCCCUAGUCAUCUUUUUGUUCUGUAUUUAAGGAUUUGUAUAGGUGUGUUACAUCUGUAACUCCAUAAAACGUUCAUUUAAUAUCCAUAAGUAAAAAGCAAGGAAUAAAACAUUUGGGGGUGUUCUGUUAUUGGAAAAUAAUGAACGACAGGGUGGUGUGAUGCAUUCUGACACAAAGCAGAAUUACUGUUACCACCCUGAAGUUUUCCCAUAACAGCACAUCCUGUGAAGAGUUUUAGUACACUUAUACCACAGCAAUUUGCCAACAAUUAUUUAUUUAUUUUUUUUCUUACGCCCUGCAUUCUGAAGUCUUUCCCCAUGGAGAAAAACUUAUAGCUUUAAUUCUGAUUGUUAAAAAGCACCAAUAUUGGAGACUCCUUCCAUAAAUGCUAAAUAAACGUCUCCUCACAGAAAACCUCACUAUGUCAACGGUUAUGUUCUUUUUUUAAAAAAACAUGGUUUUAAUUUGUUUAUUGUUAAAGUUUAGACUAUAUGGAGUUUGCAGGAAUUAGCUGUUACUAUAGAAAUGAUAAUAAUGUAUUAGAACAAGCUCAUUAAUAUAAACCUGUGAUUUGAAUUACAGCCAGAAUUACUAUCAAAGACACUAUUAUAGAAAAUUACUCAACACAUAAGCAAUAAAAUGACAUAAGUAAUAAAAAGUUCCUAUAACCACAUUAUAAUGUUGUAUGUUGUAAGUUCCAGCUCUGUGUUUCCAGUUCUAUGUUCCAGCUGUGAAUUUCUGUUGCUCUUAAAAAGCAAGUGGACUUGAGGUAUACAAGGCAAAAAAAAAAAAAAAGAACAUUUCACAUUUCAACAAAAUGUUUUCCUAUAAAAAGCUGGUUUGGGCCCAAUAAAUGGAAGAGAUUUCAAACUGGAUUGUUAUUAAAUGGAGAUUCAGUUUUAUUUACUUGCAUUAUAAAGUAUAGGUUUAGCUUAAUCACUGCACGUUAGCCAUUUUUUAAAAAAUGAUAUCCUGCUAGCUUAAACGAAAAUGCCAACUUUCUCAAGAGUGUGUUGGCAUGGAAGAAAUGUGUGUCUGAUGCUAUCUUCAUCUCCAUGAAGAUUAAAUAGCUGGGAGACAUCACUGCCAUCUUAAGCAUGUUUGGGCAGGAUGUUUUCUUUUUUUUUUUUUUUUUUUUUAAACAUGACUUCUAUAGUCUUCCUCCUGCUCUGUGCUGUAUUUCUUUGUGGGUGGUUUCUUUUUUUUUAAUUUUUUUAUUAUUUUUAUUAUUCUUUGUUUAUAUUUUUGUCGUCUUCAUGUCUGAGCUUUUUGCAUAACUUCUUGGUUCUUGCUGCUGCUGUCCUCCUCAGGAGAGGACUUUAGGGUGGAUGUCAGUGUUGAAAGCCCUGUCUGCUGUUAGUUUUUAUUGGUUUUCCUC